RNAcentral lists this ribosomal RNA (475 nucleotides) under Escherichia coli. RNAcentral describes it as "partial 23S ribosomal RNA". It matches the Rfam family "Bacterial large subunit ribosomal RNA", at positions 2180 to 2654 of the family's 2925-position model. Lineage: Bacteria; Pseudomonadati; Pseudomonadota; Gammaproteobacteria; Enterobacterales; Enterobacteriaceae. The record is from RNAcentral.
AUGGAGCCGACCUUGAAAUACCACCCUUUAAUGUUUGAUGUUCUAACGUUGACCCGUAAUCCGGGUUGCGGACAGUGUCUGGUGGGUAGUUUGACUGGGGCGGUCUCCUCCUAAAGAGUAACGGAGGAGCACGAAGGUUGGCUAAUCCUGGUCGGACAUCAGGAGGUUAGUGCAAUGGCAUAAGCCAGCUUGACUGCGAGCGUGACGGCGCGAGCAGGUGCGAAAGCAGGUCAUAGUGAUCCGGUGGUUCUGAAUGGAAGGGCCAUCGCUCAACGGAUAAAAGGUACUCCGGGGAUAACAGGCUGAUACCGCCCAAGAGUUCAUAUCGACGGCGGUGUUUGGCACCUCGAUGUCGGCUCAUCACAUCCUGGGGCUGAAGUAGGUCCCAAGGGUAUGGCUGUUCGCCAUUUAAAGUGGUACGCGAGCUGGGUUUAGAACGUCGUGAGACAGUUCGGUCCCUAUCUGCCGUGGGCGC